AAAGAUAAGAAAUGAUCAGUUUUUAUGGUCAAAACAGCAACAGACAAGAUAACAGAUAGAUAUAUACAUAUGUCUGUAAAGUGAUUUGAGUCAACAGAGUCUUUAACUCUUUAAAAUGUGAAGGUUAAGUAGUCUUAGUGCUUACAGAUGUGAUCAGGAAAGUUAGAGAUACUUCAUGACAUUUCUUUGACCAGAGAGGUUUUUUUGCUUCUUUCAGGUCAUCUACAUGUGAUACUGUGUUUUAUCACAUCAAUAUAUUGUAUGUGCGUAUGGAUCUAUAAAUGUUUUCUUACUUUGUGAAUGUUUUUUUUCUCCAUUAACAAAAACAAUGAGAAAAUACAAUCAGUAAACAUUUACACAUGAAAAAUAAGCUUUCCAAGCUUGCC
Etheostoma spectabile (orangethroat darter) is the source of this 386-nucleotide long non-coding RNA. RefSeq lists it as uncharacterized. The record is from RefSeq and is a predicted model, not a curated record. Lineage: Eukaryota; Metazoa; Chordata; Actinopteri; Perciformes; Percidae. The transcript is spliced from 2 exons.